RNAcentral lists this ribosomal RNA (301 nucleotides) under uncultured bacterium. RNAcentral's name for it is "partial 16S ribosomal RNA". It matches the Rfam family "Bacterial small subunit ribosomal RNA", at positions 509 to 807 of the family's 1533-position model. The record is from RNAcentral.
CAGUAGCCGCGGUAAUACAGAGGGUGCGAGCGUUAAUCGGAUUUACUGGGCGUAAAGCGUGCGUAGGCGGCUUCUUAAGUCGGAUGUGAAAUCCCUGAGCUUAACUUAGGAAUUGCAUUCGAUACUGGGAAGCUAGAGUAUGGGAGAGGAUGGUAGAAUUCCAGGUGUAGCGAUGAAAUGCGUAGAGAUCUGGAGGAAUACCGAUGGCGAAGGCAGCCAUCUGGCCUAAUACUGACGCUGAGGUACGAAAGCAUGGGGAGCAAACAGGAUUAGAUACCCCAGUAGUCCCUGUCUCUUAUAC